RNAcentral lists this ribosomal RNA (900 nucleotides) under uncultured bacterium. Its description in RNAcentral is "bacterial SSU rRNA". It matches the Rfam family "Bacterial small subunit ribosomal RNA", at positions 65 to 936 of the family's 1533-position model. The record is from RNAcentral.
UACGAGAACUCUUCUGCUUGCAGAAGAUAGUAAAGUGGCGCACGGGUGAGUAACGCGUGGGUAAUCUACCUCUAAAUCGGGGAUAACCCGCCGAAAGGCGAGCUAAUACCGGAUAAUAUCUUUAAAACUUAGGUUUUUAAGAUCAAAGGUGGUCUCUACAUGUAAGCUACUGUUUGGAGAUGAGCCCGCGUACCAUUAGCUUGUUGGUAGGGUAAUGGCCUACCAAGGCUGCGAUGGUUAGCUGGUCUGAGAGGAUGAUCAGCCACACUGGAACUGACACACGGUCCAGACUCCUACGGGAGGCAGCAGUGAGGAAUUUUGCGCAAUGGGGGAAACCCUGACGCAGCAACGCCGCGUGAGUGAUGAAGGCUUUCGGGUCGUAAAGCUCUGUCAAGUGGGAAGAACCUGCUCGAUGCUAAUACCAUCUAGCACUGACGGUACCACUGAAGGAAGCACCGGCUAACUCCGUGCCAGCAGCCGCGGUAAUACGGGGGGUGCAAGCGUUAUUCGGAAUUAUUGGGCGUAAAGGGCGCGUAGGCGGUCUCUAAAGUCAGAUGUGAAAGCCCGGGGCUUAACCCCGGAAGUGCAUUUGAAACUCAGGGACUUGAGUAUGGGAGAGGGAAGUGGAAUUCCUGGUGUAGCGGUGAAAUGCGUAGAUAUCAGGAGGAACACCAGUGGCGAAGGCGACUUCCUGGACCAAUACUGACGCUAAGGCGCGAAGGCGUGGGGAGCAAACAGGAUUAGAUACCCUGGUAGUCCACGCAGUAAACGGUGAACACUAGGUGUAGCGGGUAUUGACCCCUGCUGUGCCGCAGCUAACGCAUUAAGUGUUCCGCCUGGGGAGUACGAUCGCAAGAUUAAGACUCAAAGGAAUUGACGGGGGCCCGCACAAGCGGUGGA